RNAcentral lists this ribosomal RNA (681 nucleotides) under uncultured bacterium. RNAcentral's name for it is "bacterial SSU rRNA". It matches the Rfam family "Bacterial small subunit ribosomal RNA", at positions 8 to 735 of the family's 1533-position model. The record is from RNAcentral.
AGAGUUUGAUCAUGGCUCAGAGCGAACGCUGGCGGCAGGCCUAACACAUGCAAGUCGAACGAAGUCUUCGGACUUAGUGGCGGACGGGUGAGUAACACGUGGGAACGUGCCUUUAGGUUCGGAGUAACUCAGGGAAACUUGUGCUAAUACCGAAUGUGCCCUUCGGGGGAAAGAUUUAUCGCCUUUAGAGCGGCCCGCGUCUGAUUAGCUAGUUGGUGAGGUAAAGGCUCACCAAGGCGACGAUCAGUAGCUGGUCUGAGAGGAUGAUCAGCCACAUUGGGACUGAGACACGGCCCAAACUCCUACGGGAGGCAGCAGUGGGGAAUCUUGCGCAAUGGGCGAAAGCCUGACGCAGCCAUGCCGCGUGAAUGAUGAAGGUCUUAGGAUUGUAAAAUUCUUUCACCGGGGACGAUAAUGACGGUACCCGGAGAAGAAGCCCCGGCUAACUUCGUGCCAGCAGUCGCGGUAAUACGAAGGGGGCUAGCGUUGCUCGGAAUUACUGGGCGUAAAGGGAGCGUAGGCGGACAUUUAAGUCAGGGGUGAAAUCCCGGGGCUCAACCUCGGAAUUGCCUUUGAUACUGGAUGUCUUGAGUGUGAGAGAGGUAUGUGGAACUCCGAGUGUAGAGGUGAAAUUCGUAGAUAUUCGGAAGAACACCAGUGGCGAAGGCGACAUACUGGCUC